Molecule: long non-coding RNA, 395 nt
Organism: Physella acuta
Lineage: Eukaryota; Metazoa; Mollusca; Gastropoda; Physidae
Source: RefSeq, a predicted model, not a curated record
GAAACAACAAACUGAGCUUGACCAUCUCAAAAAGGAAUUUUCUGAUAGAAAGGACUCAUAUGAAAAGCUCCACCAAGAAAAAGAGAAACUACAAACUGAGCUUGACCAUCUCAAAAAGGAAUUUUCUGAUAGAAAGGACUCAUAUGAAAAGCUCCACCAAGAAAAAGAAAGCGAAGAAGCCAAAAAUAAACAGAUGUUACUACAAAAUCACACCCUUGAAAAUAGCGUUAAAGAAAUUAUACUGGAAAGAUCAAAUUUGGAUGAGAAAUUGAAAGGCAGUGAUCAAGCUCGUUGUGCAGCAGAAAAAAUUGUAUCAGAUCUAAAAAAAGAAUUAGCAACAAUUGAUAUUCCCGUUUCCAAAAAAUGGCAGCUAGAGUGCAUACUAGAGCCUCGUC